This 119-nucleotide ribosomal RNA is filed under the name Pteropus alecto (black flying fox). Lineage: Eukaryota; Metazoa; Chordata; Mammalia; Chiroptera; Pteropodidae. The record is from RNAcentral.
GUCUACAGCCACGCCACCCUGAACGAGCCCGAUCUCGUCUGAUCUUGGAAGCUAAGCAGGGUUGGGCCUGGUUAGUAUUUGGAUGGGAGACCACCUAGGAAGAUCCGGAGCUAUAGGAG